CAUGCAAGUCGAACGGGAAAUAUUUCAUUGAGACUUCGGUGGAUUUGAUCUAUUUCUAGUGGCGGACGGGUGAGUAACGCGUGGGUAACCUGCCUUAUACAGGGGGAUAACAGUCAGAAAUGGCUGCUAAUACCGCAUAAGCGCACAGAGCUGCAUGGCUCAGUGUGAAAAACUCCGGUGGUAUAAGAUGGACCCGCGUUGGAUUAGCUAGUUGGUGGGGUAACGGCCCACCAAGGCGACGAUCCAUAGCCGGCCUGAGAGGGUGAACGGCCACAUUGGGACUGAGACACGGCCCAGACUCCUACGGGAGGCAGCAGUGGGGAAUAUUGCACAAUGGGGGAAACCCUGAUGCAGCGACGCCGCGUGAAGGAAGAAGUAUCUCGGUAUGUAAACUUCUAUCAGCAGGGAAGAUAGUGACGGUACCUGACUAAGAAGCCCCGGCUAACUACGUGCCAGCAGCCGCGGUAAUACGUAGGGGGCAAGCGUUAUCCGGAUUUACUGGGUGUAAAGGGAGCGUAGACGGUGUGGCAAGUCUGAUGUGAAAGGCAUGGGCUCAACCUGUGGACUGCAUUGGAAACUGUCAUACUUGAGUGCCGGAGGGGUAAGCGGAAUUCCUAGUGUAGCGGUGAAAUGCGUAGAUAUUAGGAGGAACACCAGUGGCGAAGGCGGCUUACUGGACGGUAACUGACGUUGAGGCUCGAAAGCG
RNAcentral lists this ribosomal RNA (706 nucleotides) under uncultured Lachnospiraceae bacterium. RNAcentral's name for it is "bacterial SSU rRNA". It matches the Rfam family "Bacterial small subunit ribosomal RNA", at positions 54 to 761 of the family's 1533-position model. Lineage: Bacteria; Bacillati; Bacillota; Clostridia; Lachnospirales; Lachnospiraceae. The record is from RNAcentral.